UGUCAAAUUAAUCAGUUCAGUUUUUGUUUUAAAAAAUCAGACAAGACCGCAUAUUUCUUAGAAAAAAAAAAAAUACAAACAAACAAAAUAUUGAAAGAAGCACGUAAAGCUCAUUGCGGCUUGAUUUAUGCAAAAACGAUUUAUAUCUACAAUCAAUGGCUAAAUUAAAUUAUACUGUUCAGUCGUUUAUCAACAAUAUUGUCAUGCAAUGAAAACAAACUUAAAGUACCUACCUGUUAAAGAUCUCUCAACAGAGAUAAUAAUGAUAUCAAUUGAAUAGUGAUGACUGAUGAAAUAACAGCAAAGAGUGCGAAAACAAAAACAUUCACUUAUGUAAAAAGGAACCAUUCAUAGUACAGUGACCUUAUCUGUCACUGUCUAUGGGUCAAAUCUGGUAGUUUUUGGCAGAGGUGUUUCUAGUAAUGGCUCAAUAAAAAUUCUUAGUUUUCGAACAGAGGGGUGUCGAACUCAACAUUGAAAAGUGUACAAAAUUUAAAAUACCUAAUAUUAAACAUUUUUAUUCUUUGUUGUUUGUUGAUCUAA
Molecule: long non-coding RNA, 543 nt
Organism: Episyrphus balteatus (marmalade hoverfly)
Lineage: Eukaryota; Metazoa; Arthropoda; Insecta; Diptera; Syrphidae
Exons: 2
Source: RefSeq, a predicted model, not a curated record